AACGCGAAGAACCUUACCAGGGCUUGACAUGCACGGAAAUCCUCCAGAGAUGGGGGGUCCGCAAGGGUCGUGCACAGGUGGUGCAUGGUUGUCGUCAGCUCGUGUCGUGAGAUGUUGGGUUAAGUCCCGCAACGAGCGCAACCCUCGUCCGAUGUUGCCAGCAGGCCCGCAAGGGUGCUGGGGACUCAUCGGAGACCGCCGGGGUCAACUCGGAGGAAGGUGGGGACGACGUCAAAUCAUCAUGCCCCUUAUGUCCUGGGCUGCACACAUGCUACAAUGGCCGGUACAAAGGGCAGCCAAGCCGUGAGGCGGAGCGAAUCCCAAAAAGCCGGUCUCAGUUCGGAUCGGGGUCUGCAACUCGACCCCGUGAAGUCGGAGUCGCUAGUAAUCGCAGAUCAGCAACGCUGCGGUGAAUACGUUCCCGGGCCUUGUACACACCGUAGUAC
This 446-nucleotide ribosomal RNA is filed under the name uncultured bacterium. RNAcentral describes it as "bacterial SSU rRNA". It matches the Rfam family "Bacterial small subunit ribosomal RNA", at positions 958 to 1398 of the family's 1533-position model. The record is from RNAcentral.